AAAAAAAAGGAUAAGAGUGAGAAAGAAACUCGUAAAAAAUCCGCAAUGAAAAGUGAAUUUUUCAUUAAAAAAGGAUCCCUCCCCUAAAAAAGGUGGGUGCACUUUUAUUAUUUAAGAAAGAAUUUAUUCCACAUUAAAAUCAAUUGAUUUUUAUUCAUUAGACCCGAAAGGCGGCGAACUUUGGUGGAUUGGAAUGAAGAAAAGGGAAACUUUUUUGGAGGUUCUAUAACGUUCUGACGCGCAAAUCGAUGUUCAAAAUUCACUAAAGCGGCGAAAGACUCAUCGAGCCGCCUGGUAGCUGGUUUCUUCUGAAAUUUCCCUUAGGAUAGCGGACAAUCGUUGUGAAUAGAUAACCGUGGUAAAGCAACAAUAGAUAGAAUGAGGGAAAUAAUUUUCCUUCACUAUCAUUUGAACUUAAAUAUGGUUGUGAAAUGGAAUUAUUUGAUUAAAUUCG
Molecule: ribosomal RNA, 454 nt
Filed under: uncultured eukaryote
Lineage: Eukaryota
Description: partial 28S ribosomal RNA
Rfam family: Eukaryotic large subunit ribosomal RNA
Source: RNAcentral